GGACUAAAAUCCGUUGGCUUUAUAGACCAUGAGGGUUCAAGUCCCUCUACCCCCAUCGGAAGGAA
RNAcentral lists this transfer RNA (65 nucleotides) under Porella platyphylloidea. Its description in RNAcentral is "partial tRNA-Leu". Lineage: Eukaryota; Viridiplantae; Streptophyta; Jungermanniopsida; Porellales; Porellaceae. The record is from RNAcentral.